GGAUAUCUCCCCUCCCCCGCUCCCUCUGUCUCCCUCUCUCCCUCCCCUCUCCCCUCUCCCAUGAGAGGACACAGCCAGAAGGAGACCGUCUGCAAGCCAAGGAGAGAAGCCUCACCAGCCAUGGAAUCUAUAGGCACCUUGAUGUUGGACUUCCAGCCUCCAGAGCUAUGGAAGCCAACCGUCGGGAGCACACACACCACAUUACAAGGAUCCCAGCCAGGCCCAGGAGGGGAAGCAAGGACACCCUAGAGGCAGAGAGAACUGGCAGCCAUGUAAGACAUGCCUGUGCCUGCUUCCCCUUUGCCUUCUGCCAUGACUGAAAGUUUCCUAAGGCCUCCUCAGAAGCCGAGCAGAUGCCAGCAUCAUGCUUCCUCUAAAGCCUGUGGAACCAUGAGCCAAGAUUUACAGUACUAUGUUGAAUAGAAGUGGUGAGAGAGGGCAUUCUUGUCUUGUUCCAGUUCUCCAGAGGAAUGCUUUCGACUUUCCCCCAUUCAGUAUGAUGUUGCAUAUGGGUUUGUCAUAUAUGGCUUUUACUACUUUCAGAUGAAGUCUUGCUCUACCAUCCAGGCUGGAGUGAAGUGGCAUGAUCUCAGCUCACUGGAAUGUCCACCUCCUAGGUUCAAGUGAUUCUCCUGCCUCAGCCUCCCAAGUGGCUGGGAUUACAGGAUUUUUCAUGGGCCGAUCUGCUGAAUUCAGCCUAGGAGCUGAGACCAACAUCUGAGUCUCUUCAGCACACAAGUUUGAAAGAAGUCCUAGCAACUUCAAGCUCAGAACUACGGGUGGCAGCAGCUCCCUCUUGACGUCGAAGCCUCCCAUUCCAGAGAGAGUCAAGGCCUGGAUCAAACAAAGCCCACAAGCACCGAUGACUGAGCUGCUGACUACCCCCAGCAUCUCCAACUCAACCUCCUCUUUCUGCCUCUACCCAAAUUUUAAAACUUUCAAACAUGGGUUUAAAAAUGGUAAUGAGUAAAGUUGCAUCCAAGUGUAUCAAAUAAAACUAAAUAUC
RNAcentral lists this long non-coding RNA (1006 nucleotides) under Homo sapiens (human). RNAcentral's name for it is "HSALNT0353414". Lineage: Eukaryota; Metazoa; Chordata; Mammalia; Primates; Hominidae. The record is from RNAcentral.